AUCACAGGUUUUAACUGGAUUUCGAAAACCUAGUGUUACAGAAACCAAUGAAGUAGGAAGAAAAAUCCAGUUCUGAACAGUCAUUGAAUCACCAAAUAUCUACUUUUGCAAGGAACUUCUGACACUCAUUUUGUGAAUCUCAUUGUUUAAGAAGAGUACUAUAAGACUUAGAGUGAGUUUGGUCAAGCUGCUUAGAAUUCAGGAAAGAAAACUUGACCUUGAUAUUUAAGUAUCAAGUAUUUAAGGAUAUGAACCUAAUGGAUCAUAUAACUAGAUUCUGGGAGGGUUUAAAGAAUUGAGAAGCAGGCCACUAGUUCAGUAUGUGUAAUGGAUGGUAGAAAAUUCACCAAGUAUAGUGAAUUCAUAAAAUAAAAUUGACCAAAUAUAGUGAAAUAAGUAUUUGGUAAUUUUAAUUAUGUAACUCACUCUCUUUAAAAACUUGCACUAUAAUUCUCAUUUAUAGUUCACUCAUUUGAACUGUACAAUUCAAUGGUUUUUAGUGUAUUCAUGAAGUUGUUGAAUAUUGCCACAGUCUAGUUUUAGAACAUUUUGUCACUAUAAAAACAAAACCUCUUACAUGUUAGCAAUCAUUCCCCAUUCCUUACCACCACCACCCUAAGUCCUAGGUAACCAUAUAUUUAUUCUCUGCCUCUCUAUAUAUGCGUAUCCUGGAUAUUUCAUAUAACUAUGACUGAAUUCUUAGCAUAAUGGUUUUAAGAGUCACCCUUGUGGCAUAUGUCAGUACUUCAUUUCUAUUGUCAAAUCUUCAGUUGUAUGAGUAUUACACAUUUAUCCAUUCAUCAGUUGAUGCACAUUGUGUUUCCUAUUUUUGACUAUGAUGAGUAAUGUUGCUCUGAAAUUCAUGUCCAGGUUUUUGGGUGGACAAAUGAUUUCAGUUUUC
RNAcentral lists this long non-coding RNA (901 nucleotides) under Marmota monax (woodchuck). The record is from RNAcentral. Lineage: Eukaryota; Metazoa; Chordata; Mammalia; Rodentia; Sciuridae.